Molecule: long non-coding RNA, 482 nt
Filed under: Vigna radiata
Lineage: Eukaryota; Viridiplantae; Streptophyta; Magnoliopsida; Fabales; Fabaceae
Description: long non-coding RNA (VRAD_LNC016329)
Source: RNAcentral
CUUUCUCAGAAGAUCUAGAUAGCAGGCUUUACUUUUUGCUUCUUCCCUGAAAUAUUGAAAACAUAUAUGUAUAUAUACAAGUUGAAAUUAGAGAUGAGUCCCUUUUGAUUCUGAAAUCAGAAGUUUGAGGUUGACAAAAAAAUUGUAAACAUUUUGUUACCUGUAUUGAAGGAGUGAUAGAUUUUAUGUAAGCAGAAGGUCACCCCACAAGAACUGAACAACAGCAACAAGACCCCAAGGGGCAAGAAUAAGACAGAGAUUAGUUGUGGUUCUGCCCCUAUGGAUACUCUAAAUGAUGAAUCUAUCCAUGUAUUUAACUCUUGAGACCUGAGAGGACUAACUUUUGACAAUGAAAGAUAAAGGGGAGCAGUAAAACCCUUUUACUCACUUUAUCUGAAAUUGCAUCUCAUGGAAUCUUUAAUGCAAAAUAGAGGAAAGGAACAAGAGAUGUUGAAUUUCAUGUGACAUAGUCCUCAAUAGUA